AUUGAACGCUGGCGGCAUGCCUUACACAUGCAAGUCGAACGGUAACAGGUCUUCGGAUGCUGACGAGUGGCGAACGGGUGAGUAAUACAUCGGAACGUGCCUAGUAGUGGGGGAUAACUACUCGAAAGAGUGGCUAAUACCGCAUGAGAUCUACGGAUGAAAGCAGGGGAUCGUAAGACCUUGUGCUACUCGAGCGGCCGAUGGCAGAUUAGGUCGUUGGUGGGAUAAAAGCUUACCAAGCCGACGAUCUGUAGCUGGUCUGAGAGGACGAUCAGCCACACUGGGACUGAGACACGGCCCAGACUCCUACGGGAGGCAGCAGUGGGGAAUUUUGGACAAUGGGCGAAAGCCUGAUCCGGCAAUGCCGCGUGCAGGAUGAAGGCCUUCGGGUUGUAAACUGCUUUUGUACGGAACGAAAAGCCCUGGGUUAAUACCCUGGGGUCAUGACGGUACCGUAAGAAUAAGCACCGGCUAACUACGUGCCAGCAGCCGCAGUAA
Molecule: ribosomal RNA, 498 nt
Filed under: uncultured bacterium
Lineage: Bacteria
Description: partial 16S ribosomal RNA
Rfam family: Bacterial small subunit ribosomal RNA
Source: RNAcentral